This 490-nucleotide ribosomal RNA is filed under the name uncultured bacterium. RNAcentral describes it as "partial 16S ribosomal RNA". It matches the Rfam family "Bacterial small subunit ribosomal RNA", at positions 30 to 507 of the family's 1533-position model. The record is from RNAcentral.
AUUGAACGCUGGCGGCAGGCCUAACACAUGCAAGUCGAACGGUAACAGGAAACAGCUUGCUGUUUCGCUGACGAGUGGCGGACGGGUGAGUAAUGUCUGGGAAACUGCCUGAUGGAGGGGGAUAACUACUGGAAACGGUAGCUAAUACCGCAUAACGUCGCAAGACCAAAGAGGGGGACCCUCGGGCCUCUUGCCAUCGGAUGUGCCCAGAUGGGAUUAGCUUGUUGGUGGGGUAACGGCUCACCAAGGCGACGAUCCCUAGCUGGUCUGAGAGGAUGACCGGCCACACUGGAACUGAGACACGGUCCAGAGUCCUACGGGAGGCAGCAGUGGGGAAUAUUGCACAAUGGGCGAAAGCCUGAUGCAGCCAUGCCGCGUGUAUGAAGAAGGCCUUCGGGUUGUAAAGUACUUUCAGCGGGGAGGAAGGGAGUAAAGUUAAUACCUUUGCUCAUUGACGUUACCCGCAGAAGAAGCACCGGCUAACUCCGUG